RNAcentral lists this ribosomal RNA (237 nucleotides) under uncultured bacterium. RNAcentral's name for it is "partial 16S ribosomal RNA". It matches the Rfam family "Bacterial small subunit ribosomal RNA", at positions 15 to 233 of the family's 1533-position model. The record is from RNAcentral.
GAUCCUGGCUCAGGAUGAACGCUGGCGGCGUGCUUAACACAUGCAAGUCGAGCGAAGCACUUUACUUAGAUUUCUUCGGGAUGAAGAGUAUUGUGACUGAGCGGCGGACGGGUGAGUAACGCGUGGGUAACCUGCCUCAUACAGGGGGAUAACAGUUAGAAAUGACUGCUAAUACCGCAUAAGACCACAGCACCCGCAUAGUGCAGAGGUAAAACUCGGUGUAUGAGAUGGGACCCG